RNAcentral lists this ribosomal RNA (563 nucleotides) under uncultured bacterium. Its description in RNAcentral is "partial 16S ribosomal RNA". It matches the Rfam family "Bacterial small subunit ribosomal RNA", at positions 355 to 914 of the family's 1533-position model. The record is from RNAcentral.
UGGGGAAUUUUGGACAAUGGGCGAAAGCCUGAUCCAGCAAUGCCGCGUGUGUGAAGAAGGCCUUCGGGUUGUAAAGCACUUUUGUCCGGAAAGAAAUCCUUGGCUCUAAUACAGUCGGGGGAUGACGGUACCGGAAGAAUAAGCACCGGCUAACUACGUGCCAGCAGCCGCGGUAAUACGUAGGGUGCAAGCGUUAAUCGGAAUUACUGGGCGUAAAGCGUGCGCAGGCGGUUUGCUAAGACCGAUGUGAAAUCCCGGGCUCAACCUGGGAACUGCAUUGGUGACUGGCAGGCUAGAGUAUGGCAGAGGGGGGUAGAAUUCCACGUGUAGCAGUGAAAUGCGUAGAGAUGUGGAGGAAUACCGAUGGCGAAGGCAGCCCCUGGCCAAUACUGACGCUCAUGCACGAAAGCGUGGGGAGCAAACAGGAUUAGAUACCCUGGUAGUCCACGCCCUAAACGAUGUCAACUAGUUGUUGGGGAUUCAUUUCCUUAGUAACGUAGCUAACGCGUGAAGUUGACCGCCUGGGGAGUACGGUCGCAAGAUUAAAACUCAAAUGAAUUGAC